CUUCAAGGAGCCGAGCAGCAGUGGCCGUUCGGCGGGCCGGUCCUGCCCGUACGUGGCCAGCAGUGCCUGCGCCUC
RNAcentral lists this antisense RNA (75 nucleotides) under Streptomyces sp. AmelKG-A3. RNAcentral's name for it is "ASpks TB sRNA". It matches the Rfam family "ASpks TB sRNA". RNAcentral also lists the same sequence under 1 other name. The record is from RNAcentral. Lineage: Bacteria; Bacillati; Actinomycetota; Actinomycetes; Kitasatosporales; Streptomycetaceae.